AGCGAACGCUGGCGGCGUGCCUAACACAUGCAAGUCGAACGUGAAAGGGAGCAAUCCCAAGUAAAGUGGCGUACGGGUGAGUAACACGUAGGUAAUCUACCCCAGAAUCUGGAAUAACCGGCCGAAAGGCUGGCUAAUACUGGAUAGAGCGACGGAAUCCGUAAUUGGGUUUUUCGGGAAAGGGAGCCUGUAAAAAGGCCUUCGUUCUGGGAUGAGCCUGCGUCCCAUCAGCUAGUUGGUGAGGUAAAAGCUUACCAAGGCAAUGACGGGUAGCUGGUCUGAGAGGACGAUCAGCCACACUGGAACUGAAACACGGUCCAGACUGCUACUGGAGGCAGCAGUGGGGAAUCUUGCGCAAUGGACGAAAGUCUGACGCAGCAACGCCGCGUGAGUGAAGAAGGCCUUCGGGUUGUAAAGCUCUGUCGAGUGGGACGAAAAUGCUUGGAGUUCACAGCUCCAGGAACUGACGGUACCACUAAAGGAAGCACCGGCUAACUCCGUG
This 502-nucleotide ribosomal RNA is filed under the name uncultured bacterium. Its description in RNAcentral is "partial 16S ribosomal RNA". It matches the Rfam family "Bacterial small subunit ribosomal RNA", at positions 29 to 507 of the family's 1533-position model. The record is from RNAcentral.